This 231-nucleotide long non-coding RNA is filed under the name Lathyrus oleraceus (garden pea). RNAcentral's name for it is "Pisum sativum (pea) long non-coding RNA (PSAT_LNC036541)". Lineage: Eukaryota; Viridiplantae; Streptophyta; Magnoliopsida; Fabales; Fabaceae. The record is from RNAcentral.
AUAUUCGUAUAAACCGAAUGUCAAAAACCUUGAAUUCUCUAGGACAACCGUCCACCAUAUUCACUGAAGAGUUCCCAUGAGCGGGCAAAGGGUUUGCUUUCACAUUUGGCGCACGGUCCUCAAAGGACACCAUACCAUUCUUCUUAAGCUUUUGAACCUCAUACUUCAAUGGAUAGCAGUUUUCAAUAUCAUGUCCGGGUGCUCCUUGAUGAAAGGCAUAACGGAGCUCAG